CUACCGAAUCUUCUUAAUGGUGCCUCUACUGGCUCCGGAUUUGAUUCACCAAUCGAACCCAAUUCUGUAUGUGUCAGUCCUUCACCAAGGAACUCCUUUUUCAAAAAGACUGUCUGGCUGCUGACAAAUACUUUUUAUUCUGCAGUGAGAUAGAAGUAGUACCUUUUAGUUUUCUUUAGAUACCCUAUGAACAAAUAUUUAUCGGACUUCGGUCCAAGCUUAUCUGUCUUUAAACGUUUGACAUAAGCUGGACACUCCCAAACCCU
RNAcentral lists this long non-coding RNA (266 nucleotides) under Elaeis guineensis (African oil palm). RNAcentral describes it as "long non-coding RNA (EGUI_LNC061324)". Lineage: Eukaryota; Viridiplantae; Streptophyta; Magnoliopsida; Arecales; Arecaceae. The record is from RNAcentral.